GUGGGGAAUAUUGGGCAAUGGGCGCAAGCCUGAUCUAGCCAUGCCGCGUGAGCGAUGAAGGCCUUAGGGUUGUAAAGCUCUUUCGUGGGGGAAGAUAAUGACUGUACCCCAAGAAGAAGCCCCGGCUAACUCCGUGCCAGCAGCCGCGGUAAUACGGAGGGGGCUAGCGUUGUUCGGAAUUACUGGGCGUAAAGCGCACGUAGGCGGACUGGAAAGUCAGGGGUGAAAUCCCGGGGCUCAACCCCGGAACUGCCUUUGAAACUCCCAGUCUUGAGUUCGAGAGAGGUGAGUGGAAUUCCGAGUGUAGAGGUGAAAUUCGUAGAUAUUCGGAGGAACACCAGUGGCGAAGGCGGCUCACUGGCUCGAUACUGACGCUGAGGUGCGAAAGCGUGGGGAGCAAACAGGAUUAGAUACCCGAGUAGUCC
This 425-nucleotide ribosomal RNA is filed under the name uncultured bacterium. Its description in RNAcentral is "partial 16S ribosomal RNA". It matches the Rfam family "Bacterial small subunit ribosomal RNA", at positions 354 to 796 of the family's 1533-position model. The record is from RNAcentral.